RNAcentral lists this ribosomal RNA (250 nucleotides) under uncultured prokaryote. RNAcentral describes it as "partial 16S ribosomal RNA". It matches the Rfam family "Bacterial small subunit ribosomal RNA", at positions 524 to 773 of the family's 1533-position model. The record is from RNAcentral.
UACGUAGGGGGCAAGCGUUAUCCGGAUUUACUAGGUGUAAAGGGAGCGCAGACGGCAUCGCAAGUCUGAUGUGAAAGCCCGGGGCUCAACCCCGGAACUGCAUUGGAAACUGCGGAGCUCGAGUGUCGGAGGGGUAAUCGGAAUUCCUAGUGUAGCGGUGAAAUGCGUAGAUAUUAGGAGGAACACCGGUGGCGAAGGCGGCUUACUGGACGACUACUGACGUUGAGGCUCGAAAGCGUGGGGAGCAAAC